Molecule: long non-coding RNA, 852 nt
Filed under: Nicotiana tabacum (common tobacco)
Lineage: Eukaryota; Viridiplantae; Streptophyta; Magnoliopsida; Solanales; Solanaceae
Description: long non-coding RNA (NTAB_LNC009684)
Source: RNAcentral
AGAUAUUUGAAUGGGCUGAAGCCCUAAUUUUCGUUUCAGUCUUUCACUCUCAAAAAAGGCAGCAGCAUCCCAUUUUUUGAGUCUCUCUUCUCUCACUUUGAGAGAACCAGACCAAGCCGUCAUCCUCAUGGCUCUCUCUCGUCCCUUUAUCAUGCCUACUUCCUGCCGGAGCCUCGCCGACGUCCAUGUCUACUUCUCUCUCUCCCCAUUUCUCCCUUUUUCUUUAGCCGCUGCCAUCACUGACUCCUUGCUCUGCCAUCAUCGGUAAGAUAGUCGCCGGAAAAUAUGGAAAAAUUCCAGAUCUGACUGGAUCUGGUUAAAUCAGGCCGGCUAAGAUUAAAAAGGGAGGCGAACUCAACUCCGACGACUUAUUGAGCUUAGUAUUUGGUUGUUGUUUCGGUGAUUGGUGUCGUUGAAGCAAUGCCUUUUAACAUUGAUGUCAUCCGGUUGUUCUUGUUUUUUUCACACCGCGAAAAAAUACUGAUCUGGCCGGAAGUGACUUUUUCUAUUAAAUCUCUAUGACCUACUGUUUUGUGUUAGUGUGUUACGACCUUUCCGGUGACUUUUGCUAAAACUUGCAGAACUCCGGCACCCCUGUUGUUUGUUCCAUUUUUUGGGAAAUUCUGUUUGGUUUUGUUCAUGCUAUUUCUAGGUUGACCUGUUGUUAUCAAUGCUACUGGAAUUUGCACUAAUUUUGUGACUGAUUGACUUGCUUUUGGUCCUCUUUCAGGAUUUGGGGUCAGUUCUGUUUCGUUCUGUUGCCGAUAAUUCUUAUUUUUGCUACUGUGUGGUUGUUUGAAAUGCUCACUGGCCCAUAGAUAGCUUUCUUUUCUCUAUUUAUUUGUUCCCAGC